This 381-nucleotide ribosomal RNA is filed under the name Triticum aestivum (bread wheat). RNAcentral's name for it is "partial small subunit ribosomal RNA". Lineage: Eukaryota; Viridiplantae; Streptophyta; Magnoliopsida; Poales; Poaceae. The record is from RNAcentral.
AUGUUUUGUCAUCACGACAAGACGAUAAAACACUUGCUUUUUCAAUGCAAGUUGGCUCAUUCUAUAUGGUCAGUCAUCCAAAUAGCUUCUGGCUUGUAUCCUCCAUGUAGUGUUGUCAAUAUAUUCGGCAAUUGGUUACAUGGGGUAGAAUACAGGUUUAGAGCUCUUCUCAGGGUGGGAGCGCUUGCCGUUAUUUGGUCACUUUCGCCAUGUAGAAAUGAUAAGAUUUUUAACGAUAAAAAUACUUCUCUUAUGCAGGUUAUUUAUAGAUGUACCGGUACGCUCCGUUUAUGGUCGUCUCUACAGCGUAUGGAGUACCGACACAUGUUUACGGAGGUGUGUGCACGCUUGAAGGCCACUGCGAAAGAUACUUUUACCUAA